UACGUAGGGGGCAAGCGUUGUCCGGAUUUAUUGGGCGUAAAGAGCUCGUAGGCGGUGUGUCGCGUCGGUCGUGAAAACUUGGGGCUUAACCCUGAGCUUGCGGUUGAUACGGGCAUCACUGGAGUUCGGCAGGGGAGACUGGAAUUCCUGGUGUAGCGGUGGAAUGCGCAGAUAUCAGGAGGAACACCGGUGGCGAAAGGGCGGGGUCUCCUGGGGCCAUUACUGACGCUGGAGGAGCGAAAGCGUGGGGAGCGAACAGG
Molecule: ribosomal RNA, 260 nt
Filed under: uncultured bacterium
Lineage: Bacteria
Description: partial 16S ribosomal RNA
Rfam family: Bacterial small subunit ribosomal RNA
Source: RNAcentral